ACAUUGCUUCAUCAAGAUAUUCUGAAAUUGCAAAACAGAGAACAACAAAACCUAUAAACAUUGCAACGAUAAUAAAUAAGGAAACCAAACUUAAUUUAUCAAAACACAAUUCUGAUAGUGCUGCCAGAAACUUAUUCCUACUUUCCUAGUAAUGAAAUGUCAUACUAAACAAAUAAACCCCGGAAACCAUAAGCCAAGCAAUUUGGUUCCUCCAUGUGUAGUCAUGCAAGUUCCCUCAUGCACAGUCCUUC
Molecule: unclassified non-coding RNA, 251 nt
Filed under: Hevea brasiliensis (rubber tree)
Lineage: Eukaryota; Viridiplantae; Streptophyta; Magnoliopsida; Malpighiales; Euphorbiaceae
Source: RNAcentral